GAUGAAGAACGUAGCGAAAUGCGAUAAGUAAUGUGAAUUCAGAAUUCAGUGAAUCAUCGAAUCUUUGAACGCACAUUGCGCCCAUUAGCAUUCUAGUGGGCAUGCCUGUUCGAGCGUCAUUUCAACCCUUAAGCCCUGUUGCUUAGCGUUGGGAGCCUACAGUACUGUAGCUCCCCAAAGUUAGUGGCGGAGUCGGUUUCACACUCUAGACGUAGUAAUUUUUUCUCGUCUGUAGUUGAGCCGGUCCCCUGCCGUAAAACACCCAAUUUAUCAAGGUUGACCUCGGAUCAGGUAGGAAUACCCGCUGAACUUAAGCAUAUCAAUAAGCGGAGGA
Molecule: unclassified non-coding RNA, 334 nt
Filed under: soil metagenome
Description: partial contains 5.8S ribosomal RNA, internal transcribed spacer 2, and large subunit ribosomal RNA
Rfam family: 5.8S ribosomal RNA (bases 1-119)
Source: RNAcentral